AAACUUGCUUUCUUGCUGACGAGCGGCGGACGGGUGAUAAUGUAUGGGGAUCUGCCCGAUAAAGGGGGAUAACUACUGGAAACGGUGGCUAAUACCGCAAAAUGUCUACGGACCAAAGCAGGGGCUCUUCGGACCUUGCCCUAUCGGAUGAACCCAUAUGGGAUUAUCUAGUAAGUGGGGUAAAGGCUCACCUACGCGACAAUCUCUAGCUGGUCUGACAAGAUGAUCAGCCACUCUGGGACUGAGACACGGCCCAAACUCCUACAGGAGGCAGCAAUGGGGAAUAUUGCACAAUGGGCGCAAGCCUGAUGCACCCAUGCCGCGUGUAUGAAUAAGGCCUUAAGGUUGUAAAGUACUUUCACCGGGGAGGAAGGUGAUAACGUUAAUACCCUUAUCAAUUGACGUUACCCGCAGAACAAACACCGGCUAACUCCGUGCCAUCAGCCGCGGUAAUACGGAUGGUGCAAGCGUUAAUCGGAAUUACUGGGCGUAUAGCGCACGCAGGCGGUCAAUUAAGUCACAUGUGAAAGCCCCGAGCUUAACUUGGGAAUUGCAUCUGAGACUGGUUGGCUAGAGUCUUGUGAGGGGGGUAGAAUUCCAUGUGU
This 605-nucleotide ribosomal RNA is filed under the name Proteus mirabilis. RNAcentral's name for it is "bacterial SSU rRNA". It matches the Rfam family "Bacterial small subunit ribosomal RNA", at positions 72 to 676 of the family's 1533-position model. The record is from RNAcentral. Lineage: Bacteria; Pseudomonadati; Pseudomonadota; Gammaproteobacteria; Enterobacterales; Morganellaceae.